GAUGAACGCUGGCGGCGUGCUUAACACAUGCAAGUCGAACGAAGCACUUUAUUUGAUUUCCUUCGGGACUGAUUAUUUUGUGACUGAGUGGCGGACGGGUGAGUAACGCGUGGGUAACCUGCCUUGUACAGGGGGAUAACAGUUGGAAACGGCUGCUAAUACCGCAUAAGCGCACAGCAUCGCAUGAUGCAGUGUGAAAAACUCCGGUGGUAUAAGAUGGACCCGCGUUGGAUUAGCUAGUUGGUGAGGUAACGGCCCACCAAGGCGACGAUCCAUAGCCGACCUGAGAGGGUGACCGGCCACAUUGGGACUGAGACACGGCCCAAACUCCUACGGGAGGCAGCAGUGGGGAAUAUUGCACAAUGGGCGAAAGCCUGAUGCAGCGACGCCGCGUGAGCGAAGAAGUAUUUCGGUAUGUAAAGCUCUAUCAGCAGGGAAGAUAAUGACGGUACCUGACUAAGAAGCACCGG
RNAcentral lists this ribosomal RNA (470 nucleotides) under uncultured bacterium. RNAcentral's name for it is "bacterial SSU rRNA". It matches the Rfam family "Bacterial small subunit ribosomal RNA", at positions 28 to 496 of the family's 1533-position model. The record is from RNAcentral.